GAUGAACGCUGGCGGCGUGCCUAAUACAUGCAAGUAGAACGCUGAAGCUUGGUGCUUGCACCGAGCGGAUGAGUUGCGAACGGGUGAGUAACGCGUAGGUAACCUGCCUGGUAGCGGGGGAUAACUAUUGGAAACGAUAGCUAAUACCGCAUAACAGUCGACAUUGCAUGAUGUUGAUUUGAAAGGGGCAAAUGCUCCACUACCAGAUGGACCUGCGUUGUAUUAGCUAGUUGGUGAGGUAACGGCUCACCAAGGCGACGAUACAUAGCCGACCUGAGAGGGUGAUCGGCCACACUGGGACUGAGACACGGCCCAGACUCCUACGGGAGGCAGCAGUAGGGAAUCUUCGGCAAUGGACGGAAGUCUGACCGAGCAACGCCGCGUGAGUGAAGAAGGUUUUCGGAUCGUAAAGCUCUGUUGUAAGAGAAGAACGAGUGUGAGAGUGGAAAGUUCACAC
This 457-nucleotide ribosomal RNA is filed under the name Streptococcus sp. oral taxon 066. RNAcentral's name for it is "bacterial SSU rRNA". It matches the Rfam family "Bacterial small subunit ribosomal RNA", at positions 28 to 469 of the family's 1533-position model. Lineage: Bacteria; Bacillati; Bacillota; Bacilli; Lactobacillales; Streptococcaceae. The record is from RNAcentral.